GCAAUGGCGGGAAUUGUGUAUGGUGAAUCAAAGCUAGAGGCCAGACCUGGUGCAAUUCUAUCCCACACCUUUUCCACCACUUCUUUAUCAAUUUCUCUCUUGCCUAAAUCUUUUUGGGCUUCUUCAAAUAAAGGCCUUAUACUGUCAACCCGACCUUGCCACUUAUCAUUGUCUAUGGCCCAACGAAACCCCUGCACACCAAUUAUAGGGACCACCACCGAAUAUCUGGUGUCAACAGCAGCAGCAAACCAUGCAUGCAUUCCUCCCAGCGAUUCACCAGUAAUUCCUAUACUAGUAGGGUCUAUAUCUUCCCUCUGUGUAAGAUAAUCUGCCAGUUUUAUCAAGUCCCAGACCGUAUCAUAUAUGAAUGGCAUUGUAUCACCCUUUUUCCAUGAUGAUAUAAGAGCAUCCCGAUAAGUAGUUUUAUUGCUGGCACGUUCACCAUGGUAGCGAGAGUCAAUUGCAAUGGCUACAUAUCCUCGCGAGGCAUAGGCCUCAAGCAGGGGCCGCAGCC
RNAcentral lists this unclassified non-coding RNA (514 nucleotides) under Hevea brasiliensis (rubber tree). Lineage: Eukaryota; Viridiplantae; Streptophyta; Magnoliopsida; Malpighiales; Euphorbiaceae. The record is from RNAcentral.